Molecule: ribosomal RNA, 390 nt
Filed under: uncultured Spirochaeta sp.
Lineage: Bacteria; Pseudomonadati; Spirochaetota; Spirochaetia; Spirochaetales; Spirochaetaceae
Description: bacterial SSU rRNA
Rfam family: Bacterial small subunit ribosomal RNA
Source: RNAcentral
GGAAGCGCAUCGAAAGGUGCGUGCCGCUUGCGGCCGGCGUACAGGUGCUGCAUGGCUGUCGUCAGCUCGUGCUGUGAAGUGUUGGGUUAAGUCCCGCAACGAGCGCAACCCCUGCUGCCUGUUGCCACCACGAGAGGUGGGGACGUCAGGCGGGACCGGCCGGUGACAACCGGAGGAAGGUGGGGACGGACGUCAAGUCAUCAUGGCCCUUAUGUCCUGGGCUACACACGUGCUACAAUGGCCGGUACAGAGCGCAGCGAGGCCGCGAGGCGGAGCGAAUCGCUUAAAGCCGGUCCCAGUACGGAUUGGAGUCUGCAACCCGACUCCAUGAAGUUGGAAUCGCUAGUAAUCGCGCAUCAGCAUGGCGCGGUGAAUACGUUCCCGGGCCUU